AGAAUUUGAAUCUGGGUCCCGGAGGAAACGCGGGGGGGCGUCCUUAAUACGUGCAAGUCGAGCGAGCCGAACCAACAGAUUUACUUCGGUAAUGACGUUGGGAAAGCGAGCGGCGGAUGGGUGAGUAACACGUGGGGAACCUGCCCCUAAGUCUGGGAUACCAUUUGAAAACAGGUGCUAAUACCGGAUAAUAAAGCAGAUCGCAUGAUCAGCUUUUGAAAGGCGGCGUAAGCUGUCGCUAAGGGAUGGCCCCGCGGUGCAUUAGCUAGUUGGUAAGGUAACGGCUUACCAAGGCGACGAUGCAUAGCCGAGUUGAGAGACUGAUCGGCCACAUUGGGACUGAGACACGGCCCAAACUCCUACGGGAGGCAGCAGUAGGGAAUCUUCCACAAUGGACGCAAGUCUGAUGGAGCAACGCCGCGUGAGUGAAGAAGGUUUUCGGAUCGUAAAGCUCUGUUGUUGGUGAAGAAGGAUAGAGGUAGUAACUGGCCUUUAUUUGACGGUAAUCAACCAGAAAGUCACGGCUAACUACGUGCCAGCAGCCGCGGUAAUACGUAGGUGGCAAGCGUUGUCCGGAUUUAUUGGGCGUAAAGCGAGCGCAGGCGGAAAAAUAAGUCUAAUGUGAAAGCCCUCGGCUUAACCGAGGAACUGCAUCGGAAACUGUUUUUCUUGAGUGCAGAAGAGGAGAGUGGAACUCCAUGUGUAGCGGUGGAAUGCGUAGAUAUAUGGAAGAACACCAGUGGCGAAGGCGGCUCUCUGGUCUGCAACUGACGCUGAGGCUCGAAAGCAUGGGUAGCGAACAGGAUUAGAUACCCUGGUAGUCCAUGCCGUAAACGAUGAGUGCUAAGUGUUGGGAGGUUUCCGCCUCUCAGUGCUGCAGCUAACGCAU
RNAcentral lists this ribosomal RNA (889 nucleotides) under uncultured bacterium. RNAcentral describes it as "bacterial SSU rRNA". It matches the Rfam family "Bacterial small subunit ribosomal RNA", at positions 1 to 860 of the family's 1533-position model. The record is from RNAcentral.